UUAAAUAGGAAAGUGAGAAUUCCAGAAUUCUUGGACUAUUAUACAUCAUCUUCCCUAUUUUAGCCACUACGUCACCUAUUUUGGAGAUUUAGAAGCAAAUGGAUUUAGAUUUCAGACAACUUUUCCAUUGCAAACUCCAUUUGAGUUUUUUCCAGCUAUAUUUGAAGAUUUGCAAUCUUCAGAAUCUUCGCAUUGUCAUUGGUGUACUCCUGUAGUUCUUCUAAAAAUUCUAGCGCGUCUCCCAUAUUUGGCCGUAACUCUGCUUCUAUUGACACGCAUUUGCGUGCAACUUGAGCUACUUUGGGCAUUGGAUACAGGCCUGAAAAUGCAGGAUUCAAAAGUAGGGAAAAUCUGUAUCUGCUGAUACGGUGCCUUGCCCACUCGACUAAAUUUUGUUCUUCAAUUGGCUUGUUUCUAUCUAUAGCUUGCCUUCCAGAUAACAUUUCAAGCAGAACAACUCCAAAACUAUAUACAUCAACUUUUGUGGUCAGACGACCUUUGUUCACAUACUCAGGAGCUAAGUAGCCAUAGGUGCCCAGGAUGCUUGCACUGAGAUGGCUUCUAUCAUCUGUUGGACCAUCCUUUGCAAAGCCGAAAUCGGCGAGUUUGGCAUUAUAAUUCUGUCAUUUAUUAUAACAGGAAACAAUGUAUUAAGGAAGGAAGAGCAAGUGCUG
This 674-nucleotide unclassified non-coding RNA is filed under the name Hevea brasiliensis (rubber tree). The record is from RNAcentral. Lineage: Eukaryota; Viridiplantae; Streptophyta; Magnoliopsida; Malpighiales; Euphorbiaceae.